RNAcentral lists this ribosomal RNA (441 nucleotides) under uncultured bacterium. RNAcentral describes it as "partial 16S ribosomal RNA". It matches the Rfam family "Bacterial small subunit ribosomal RNA", at positions 338 to 795 of the family's 1533-position model. The record is from RNAcentral.
CCUACGGGAGACAGCAGUCGGGAAUAUUGCGCAAUGGAGGAAACUCUGACGCAGUGACGCCGCGUGCAGGAAGAAGGUUUUCGGAUUGUAAACUGCUUUAGACAGGGAAGAAAAAAGACAGUACCUGUAGAAUAAGCUCCGGCUAACUACGUGCCAGCAGCCGCGGUAAUACGUAGGGAGCAAGCGUUAUCCGGAUUUAUUGGGUGUAAAGGGUGCGUAGACGGGAAAACAAGUUAGUUGUGAAAUCCCCCAGCUUAACUGAGGAACUGCAACUAAAAAUAUUUUUCUUGAGUGCUGGAGAGGAAAGUGGAAUUCCUAGUGUAGCGGUGAAAUGCGUAGAUAUUAGGAGGAACACCAGUGGCGAAGGCGACUUUCUGGACAGUAACUGACGUUGAGGCACGAAAGUGUGGGGAGCAAACAGGAUUAGAUACCCGAGUAGUC